GUGGGUAUAGCUCAGUGGUAGAGCACGUGCUUAGCAUGCACAAAGUCCUGGGUUCAAGCCCCAGUACCUCCA
This 72-nucleotide transfer RNA is filed under the name Camelus bactrianus (Bactrian camel). It matches the Rfam family "tRNA". Rfam says of the family: Transfer RNA (tRNA) molecules are approximately 80 nucleotides in length. Their secondary structure includes four short double-helical elements and three loops (D, anti-codon, and T loops). Further hydrogen bonds mediate the characteristic L-shaped molecular structure. tRNAs have two regions of fundamental functional importance: the anti-codon, which is responsible for specific mRNA codon recognition, and the 3' end, to which the tRNAs corresponding amino acid is attached (by aminoacyl-tRNA synthetases). tRNAs cope with the degeneracy of the genetic code in two manners: having more than one tRNA (with a specific anti-codon) for a particular amino acid; and 'wobble' base-pairing, i.e. permitting non-standard base-pairing at the 3rd anti-codon position. The record is from Rfam by way of RNAcentral. Lineage: Eukaryota; Metazoa; Chordata; Mammalia; Artiodactyla; Camelidae. RNAcentral also lists the same sequence under 1 other name.